AUAGCGUCGACAAUUUGGGUUGGGUUCAACUUUUACCUGUUGAAGUUGUGUCAACUCAAGCAUAUGCUUAAGUUAAGCUUAUCUCGGUUGACUUGUUUAGUUAAAAUGGUCAAACUACCUGAUUCAUUAAUUUUGGUGUAGAAUUAAUGGGGUGUAACAAAAAUUUUCUACUCUAAAUGUCACAUGUUGGUUUAGGAUCAUAUUAAGUCAAUUUUAGAUUAUAUAUGAGUUAACUAAUCUGAUCCAUAUGUCAGAUCCCUCAAUAUAGCCGGCUAAUUUCAUAUCAAGUUUGUGAGAUGUGCCAAAAAUUGUCAACCUAAAUAAAAGACACUAUAACAUUUAACCUUUUUUUCUAUUUUUAUAUCUAACCCUUUUCUUUGGACAUGUGAGUAUGCAUAUAUAUAUAUAUAUAUAUGUCCUUGCAUAGAUACUUGAUAAUUCAAGGAUAAAAGUAGGGCUCGCAAUUCAUAAUGGUUUGAAUUGUGUCUGCUUAAGUUCAGGUUAUAUAUAAAGUGAAUGUUAACUCAAACAAUAAAUCUACUCAACAGCCACUAUUCCGUUGCACCCAUAGAAGCCAUGACGUGUAGACCAGCUCAUUAAUACGAUUGAACUAGUUUGUUUGCCGUUCCGUCUAAGCCCUAAAUCCUUAAGCUCUCAUUCGGUCAAAUUUCCCCCCAUGAUUGUUCAAAGCCAUCGAAGCCCCCCAACCCCCCCAAGCCAUCGACGCUAAGCAUAAACAUCGAUGGAGGCCCCUCCCUACCACUACCUCAGCCCCUCCCCACCAUGACCUUAGCCCUCUCUAGGAGAUUAGUCCCCAACUUUGGCACUGAAACCCCUAUUCUCUGCACCUUUUCUCCCUCUCGAAACCCAUCUAUGUUCUCUCCCUCACAAAACCCAACGCGGUCUGGUGAAAGCCCCCUCUGAACCUUCUCCCUCUCAACAACCAAAACCUUUUGCACGUUCCAACUUUGCUACUGAAACCCAGCCCCUUUCUCUCAUUCCCCGUUGAAAAAGGUAUAUCUUUUUCAUGGGAUGUCUACUCCUCUACUUCAUUCCCCACAUUUUGGUUAAACUAAAGGUUUUAAACUCCCUCUCUCAUUCUCUUGUUAGCUUCAGAGUCUGCAGAUUGCGAAACUGGAGGAAAUGCGAGGUGUGAAUUUUUUGUAUGUGCGGAUAUAUUUUAUCUGCUAUAAGAGAAUUUUUGUACAAGAGAGAAUAAGGCUUCGAAGACGUGGGAUGAUAUACUACUUCGUGAGUGUGACGUUUGGAAAAGGGAAGAUAAAGUGAGAGAGAUAGUGAAGAAUCUGAAAAGGAAAAGCAAAAAUUGUUGUUUUUGUACUGGGUCAUCACAUUUCUAAUAGUGUUUGCUUGGUUCGGAUAAAUUCCAUGUAAACACCAUGUUGUAUGAUGGAUUAGAUGGUUUUUGAAUGGUUGGCUUGUUAAGACCAUGUUUUGAUGAAAACUAUGUAACUUAUAUGUUGCUAAAUCAACCUGUGUAAUGAAAACUGGUUCUGCACUUCAAUCGACUUUAGCCAAGUCUUAUUAGUUGAUCGACUAUGAUCAUUUAAUUUAUAAUGAAAGCAACACUAGUUUAGUGUA
Molecule: long non-coding RNA, 1599 nt
Organism: Carya illinoinensis
Lineage: Eukaryota; Viridiplantae; Streptophyta; Magnoliopsida; Fagales; Juglandaceae
Exons: 2
Source: RefSeq, a predicted model, not a curated record